GCCACCGUGGCGGAAUUGGUAGACGCAAGCGACUUAAAAUUGCUCGGUCGAAAGGCCAUGCCAGUUCGAUUCUGGCCGGUGGCA
Molecule: transfer RNA, 84 nt
Filed under: Deltaproteobacteria bacterium
Lineage: Bacteria; Pseudomonadati; Myxococcota; Myxococcia
Description: tRNA-Leu
Rfam family: tRNA
About the family: Transfer RNA (tRNA) molecules are approximately 80 nucleotides in length.
Source: RNAcentral